GCAACCUACGGGGCGCAGCAGUGAGGAAUAUUGGUCGAUGGUCGGGAGACUGAACCAGCCAAGCCGCGUGAGGGAUGAAGGUACAGAGUAUCGUAAACCUCUUUUGUCAGGGAACAAAGGCGGGGACGCGUCCCCGGAUGAGUGUACCUGAAGAAAAAGCAUCGGCUAACUCCGUGCCAGCAGCCGCGGUAAUACGGAGGAUGCGAGCGUUAUCCGGAUUUAUUGGGUUUAAAGGGUGCGCAGGCGGUCUUUUAAGUCAGCGGUCAAAGCCCGGGGCUCAACCCCGGCCCGCCGUCGAAACUGGG
RNAcentral lists this ribosomal RNA (305 nucleotides) under uncultured bacterium. RNAcentral describes it as "bacterial SSU rRNA". It matches the Rfam family "Bacterial small subunit ribosomal RNA", at positions 334 to 637 of the family's 1533-position model. The record is from RNAcentral.